UGCCAAGUCUCAGUUAGCCCUGGAGGACACUGGCCCGGGACUGGCAGCGCUGGACCAUCACCAUUCUCCUGAGUCUGUGCCAUGUGUCAGAGCUGCGACUUCAGACCUGCGUUACAUUUCCCAGCCAGGAAUUUCUGCAACUUCCCAGGUCUGACACAUGAAGGCUCAACAAGGGAGGCUUUGCGAUGCUGAUCUCUACGGCGCCUGAAAGAACCAACUAUGAUGACAGAAAGUGCAAUCGCCCACUUGAAUACACAAUUUAAAGAAGGUCUGCUAAGCCUAAUUCUGUCAAACAUUUAUUGAGCCUCAACAUUGGUGUAACCCCCACCCCAGCCCACAGCAUUGAACAACAAUGGAUCAAGAAACUCACAAUCUGAUAGGAAAGAUGAGUCCUACAAAUAACAGAAAGGAAGACAGCAGUGCUGGGCUGCCUGGGAUCCGCCCUUCUUUUGAAGAGCUCAUCGCCCUGCCAUUCCAUCAGCACACUCCUCCUAACUGAUGUUGCGAUAAAGAGAAGAACUCCUCUGGAUUCAAGUACUCAGAAAUCUGGCUAUGUUUAGUCUGGCACCUAUGUUCCACUAUGGACUUCUGAAGACUAUAGCCCCAGCAGGAAACAAUGUUACAAGAACCCUGGACUGGGCAGCAGUGUUCUCCAACUGGCUUUACUAAUAAAUACUCUUUGCUAAAUGUUCAUCUAAUAUCCUCAAGUUCCAAGAUCCCUAGACAUUCUUAUUAGCAUUUGGUCUCAGCAAAAGAUCAGAUAAUCAUUUACACCUUAUUGUAGAUUUCAAUGGGUUUGAUCUCCUUGCCCAAUACUAUUUGCCUCUUAAGUCAA
This is a long non-coding RNA of Mirounga angustirostris (Northern elephant seal), 835 nucleotides long. RefSeq lists it as uncharacterized. The record is from RefSeq and is a predicted model, not a curated record. The transcript is spliced from 5 exons. Lineage: Eukaryota; Metazoa; Chordata; Mammalia; Carnivora; Phocidae.